RNAcentral lists this long non-coding RNA (390 nucleotides) under Rattus norvegicus (Norway rat). RNAcentral's name for it is "long non-coding RNA NONRATT027817". The record is from RNAcentral. Lineage: Eukaryota; Metazoa; Chordata; Mammalia; Rodentia; Muridae.
UACGAAAACGACUGCUUGUACUCCAGCGUGUCUUUUAUGCACUUUCUAAUAAGUACCAUGACAAAGGCAAAGUGAAGCAGCAGCAGCAUUCUCCAGAGAGCAGCUCUGGUUCAGCAGAUGUCCAUUCUGUCAGUGAACGUCCCCGAUCAAGCACUGAUGCACUUAUAGAGAUGGGUGUCCGAACUGGUCUAAGUUUAUUAUUUGCACUUCUGAGACAGAGUUGGAUGAUGCCUGUUUCGGGACCUGGUCUCAGUCUCUGCAACGACGUUAUUCAUACUGCAAUUGAAGUCGUGAGCUCUUUGCCUCCAUUGUCUUUAGCAAACGAAAGCAAGAUUCCUCCUAUGGGCUUGGACUGCUUAUCACAAGUCACAACAUUUCUUAAAGGAGUAA